This 253-nucleotide ribosomal RNA is filed under the name uncultured bacterium. Its description in RNAcentral is "partial 16S ribosomal RNA". It matches the Rfam family "Bacterial small subunit ribosomal RNA", at positions 524 to 776 of the family's 1533-position model. The record is from RNAcentral.
UACGGAGGGGGCUAGCGUUGUUCGGAAUUACUGGGCGUAAAGCGCACGUAGGCGGCUUUGCAAGUUAGAGGUGAAAGUCCGGGGCUCAACUCCGGAAUUGCCUUUAAAACUGCAUCGCUAGAAUUGUGGAGAGGUAAGUGGAAUUCCGAGUGUAGAGGUGAAAUUCGUAGAUAUUCGGAAGAACACCAGUGGCGAAGGCGACUUACUGGACACAUAUUGACGCUGAGGUGCGAAAGCGUGGGGAGCAAACAGG